RNAcentral lists this ribosomal RNA (253 nucleotides) under uncultured bacterium. Its description in RNAcentral is "partial 16S ribosomal RNA". It matches the Rfam family "Bacterial small subunit ribosomal RNA", at positions 524 to 776 of the family's 1533-position model. The record is from RNAcentral.
UACAGAGGGUGCAAGCGUUAAUCGGAAUUACUGGGCGUAAAGCGCGCGUAGGCGGUUGUGUAAGUUGGAUGUGAAAUCCCCGGGCUUAACCUGGGAAUGGCAUUCAAAAUUGCACGGCUAGAGUGUGGGAGAGGAAGGUAGAAUUCCAGGUGUAGCGGUGAAAUGCGUAGAUAUCUGGAGGAAUACCGGUGGCGAAGGCGGCAUCCUGGACCAUAACUGACGCUGAGGCGCGAAAGCUAGGGGAGCAAACGGG